GCCUACGGGACGCAGCAGUGAGGAAUAUUGGUCAAUGGGCGCAAGCCUGAACCAGCCAAGUCGCGUGAGGGAAGACGGCCCUACGGGUUGUAAACCUCUUUUGCCGGGGAGCAAGCCUGAGCACGUGUGCCCAGGCGGAGAGUACCCGGAGAAAAAGCAUCGGCUAACUCCGUGCCAGCAGCCGCGGUAAUACGGAGGAUGCGAGCGUUAUCCGGAUUUAUUGGGUUUAAAGGGUGCGUAGGCGGAUUGUUAAGUUAGAGGUGAAAUGUCCGAGCUCAACUCGGGAACUGCCUCUAAUACUGUUG
This 305-nucleotide ribosomal RNA is filed under the name uncultured bacterium. Its description in RNAcentral is "bacterial SSU rRNA". It matches the Rfam family "Bacterial small subunit ribosomal RNA", at positions 337 to 638 of the family's 1533-position model. The record is from RNAcentral.